RNAcentral lists this unclassified non-coding RNA (764 nucleotides) under Homo sapiens (human). RNAcentral's name for it is "MUC20 overlapping transcript (ENSG00000281060.2)". Lineage: Eukaryota; Metazoa; Chordata; Mammalia; Primates; Hominidae. The record is from RNAcentral.
CCACCUGCUACUCCUCUCUGAGCUACUUUUCCAGGUUCCACAGGGAGAGGUUCAGCUGUCCGUGGUAGACAUGAGGGUAGAGAAUGAGGUGGUUGGGUUCCACUUACCUUUCUAUCAUCUUGCAGUAUGGAUGUCUCUUGACUGGUACCGUGUAGACUUUUGAGGGCACACAGGAGUCUGCAGAGAGAUACUGGGGACAUUGAGCAGCAGCAGUGGGGUUGGGAGGCAGAAAUGAGGACAGGAACAUUUACCUUGUGUUUCUCUCAGCUUCUCAGAUGACCAAGAUGGUGCUGCAGAUGGUGCUGAGGAUGGAGAACCCACCAAGCCCCGCUAGGAGCCACCUAGACUGGAUGCAGAGCAUGGCCCCAGCACCCGCAGAGCAGACACUGCGAUGACAACGGACGACACAGAAGUGCCCGCUAUGACUCUAGCACCGGGCCACGCCGCUCUGGAAACUCAAACACUGAGCGCUGAGACCUCUUCUAGGGCCUCAACCCCAGCCGGCCCCGUUCCAGAAGCAGAGACCAGGGGAUCCAAGAGAAUUUCCCCUGCAAGAGAGACCAGGAGUUUCACAAAAACAUCUCCCAACUUCAUGGUGCUGAUCGCCACCUCCGUGGAGACAUCAGCCGCCAGUGGCAGCCCCGAGGGAGCUGGAAUGACCACAGUUCAGACCAUCACAGGCAGUGAUCCCGAGGAAGCCAUCUUUGACACCCUUUGCACCGAUGACAGCUCUGAAGAGGCAAAGACACUCACAAUGGACAUAU